GAUGAACGCUGGCGGCGUGCCUAACACAUGCAAGUCGAACGGAAAGACAAGGAGCGGGCGCUACUGCCGUUGGCGACGGGCGGGUGAGUAAGGAGUAGAUAGCCUUCCACUUUGGCUUGGAUAAAUACGGGAGGAAGGAGCAACUAAUAGAUAAUACUGCGGACGGGUGGGAGCAGGAGAGCUUCGGCGUUUGGGUGUCGAAUAUAGACGGAUCCGCGUCGCGUUGGUGAGUUGGUAGGGUAACGGCUUGCCAAGGAGCCGAUGCGUAGCCGAGCUGAGAGGGUGAUCGGCCACACUGGAACUGAGACACGGUCCAGACUCCUACGGGAGGCAGCAGUAGGGAAUCUUGGGCAAUGGGCGGAAGCCUGACCCAGCCAUGCCGCGUGGGUGAAGAAGGUCUUCGGGUCGUAAAACGCUUUUAUUGGGGAAGAACAACUGCGUAAUUAACUAUGCUUGUUUUGACGGUACCUAAUCAAUAAGCCCCGGCUAACUACGUG
Molecule: ribosomal RNA, 497 nt
Filed under: uncultured bacterium
Lineage: Bacteria
Description: partial 16S ribosomal RNA
Rfam family: Bacterial small subunit ribosomal RNA
Source: RNAcentral